This 72-nucleotide transfer RNA is filed under the name Candidatus Peregrinibacteria bacterium. Its description in RNAcentral is "tRNA-Ser". Lineage: Bacteria; Candidatus Peregrinibacteriota. The record is from RNAcentral.
GGGCCUGGUAAUGGCUUACAUCUAGGGACUUGACAUUCCUGGAUGCGGGUUCGAUUCCCGUCGGGUCCACCA